Molecule: ribosomal RNA, 483 nt
Filed under: uncultured bacterium
Lineage: Bacteria
Description: partial 16S ribosomal RNA
Rfam family: Bacterial small subunit ribosomal RNA
Source: RNAcentral
AUUGAACGCUGGCGGCAGGCCUAACACAUGCAAGUCGAGCGGAUGAAGGGAGCUUGCUCCUGGAUUCAGCGGCGGACGGGUGAGUAAUGCCUAGGAAUCUGCCUGGUAGUGGGGGAUAACGUCCGGAAACGGGCGCUAAUACCGCAUACGUCCUGAGGGAGAAAGUGGGGGAUCUUCGGACCUCACGCUAUCAGAUGAGCCUAGGUCGGAUUAGCUAGUUAGUGGGGUAAAGGCCUACCAAGGCGACGAUCCGUAACUGGUCUGAGAGGAUGAUCAGUCACACUGGAACUGAGACACGGUCCAGACUCCUACGGGAGGCAGCAGUGGGGAAUAUUGGACAAUGGGCGAAAGCCUGAUCCAGCCAUGCCGCGUGUGUGAAGAAGGUCUUCGGAUUGUAAAGCACUUUAAGUUGGGAGGAAGGGCAGUAAGUUAAUACCUUGCUGUUUUGACGUUACCAACAGAAUAAGCACCGGCUAACUUCGU